GCUAGGACGAACGCUGGCGGCGUGCCUAACACAUGCAAGUCGAACGGAGUUAAGGAGCUUGCUCCCUAACUUAGUGGCGGACGGGUGAGUAACACGUGAGCAACCUGCCUUUCAGAGGGGGACAACAGUUGGAAACGACUGCUAAUACCGCAUAACAUCAUCGGACGGCAUUGUCUGAUGAUCAAAGAUUUAUCGCUGAAAGAUGGGCUCGCGUCUGAUUAGAUAGUUGGUGAGGUAACGGCCCACCAAGUCGACGAUCAGUAGCCGGACUGAGAGGUUGAACGGCCACAUUGGGACUGAGACACGGCCCAGACUCCUACGGGAGGCAGCAGUGGGGGAUAUUGGCAAUGGGGGGCCAACCCUGAUCCAGCGACGCCGCGUGAGGGAAGAAGGUUUUCGGAUUGUAAACCUCUGUUGACAGGGAAGAAAAUGACGGUACCUGUUAAGAAAGCCACGGCUAACUACGUGCCAGCCGCCGC
Molecule: ribosomal RNA, 479 nt
Filed under: uncultured bacterium
Lineage: Bacteria
Description: bacterial SSU rRNA
Rfam family: Bacterial small subunit ribosomal RNA
Source: RNAcentral